This is a long non-coding RNA of Helianthus annuus (common sunflower), 394 nucleotides long. RefSeq lists it as uncharacterized. Lineage: Eukaryota; Viridiplantae; Streptophyta; Magnoliopsida; Asterales; Asteraceae. The record is from RefSeq and is a predicted model, not a curated record. The transcript is spliced from 3 exons.
AAAUUGAAGGUGUUGUUGAUCAAAAAUCGAAUGCAUGAAACUAGUUCUUCGCUAAUCUAAGCAUAUUGAACAUAAGGAUUGAAAGAAGAAGAAGCUAGUUCCGGUUCGCAACAAAAGGUUCAAGAGAGAGGUAAAUCCUCAAUUUAGGCGACUUGGCAAUUUGGAGCGAGCAAAUGCACACUUUAUGGUUAUCAAGCGCUUCCGCUAUUACGUAUUAAUGUUUUGGGUCAAAUGCUCGUUUUUGUAUAACAUUGUUAGUGGUUACACUUUCUAACACUUGAUGUAUGGUUUUUAGUCGUGUCUAGUUGAACGGGUUGUAGACUUGUUUGUUUGUUAAUGGUUAAAACAGGGAUAUGCUCGUCUUAUGGACGGGUCAUGCCCAAAUUUUGUUGAA